This 462-nucleotide long non-coding RNA is filed under the name Homo sapiens (human). RNAcentral's name for it is "HSALNT0086468". Lineage: Eukaryota; Metazoa; Chordata; Mammalia; Primates; Hominidae. The record is from RNAcentral.
CCUCGCGGCCCCAAAUUCCGCGAGUCAGGUGACCCGGCCCCGGGCUCUGGCCGGGACCUGCGGGGGGUGCUCUCCGCCCUCCAGCCCCCGGCGCAUCUCCCCGGCCCGCGCGUCCCGGCUGUUCGUGGCUUGCUUUUAGUCUCCAGGGAUCGUGGGACCCUUCUCCGCGGAUCUGUUUCAUCCUCUUAACCUGAGGUGCAGAAACUGAGUUUCAAGUAGAUCCAGCAACUUGCCCAAGUCGUAAAACCAGAAAGAGUGGAGCCGAGAAUCAAAGCUUGGAUGCCUGACCAGAGUGGACCUUUGAAACACUCCUCUGUAUAUUGUCUUCAGGCUGCCUGUAUUUACAAACUCUGAUAUUGACCUCAUUACUUCUCCCCGUUCUGCAGGCAGAAGACUGCUAUGAGAGCACUUAGGACCCAAGCGACAUCAGCCUUGGAACAGGCAAAUAAAAAUGGAAAGCUA